ACUAAUUUGUUCUCCUUUAGUAGUCCCAUUGCCUUCGCUUCCUUCUCCACCAGCCUCCCCGUCUCCUUCCUUUUUCCGUCUCCCUCCCUGCUCUCCGGCCGACGGAUCCCUACGCCUCUGCGUCCCCCUUUUACGCAGAUUACCGGAGUCUCUCUUUCCGAGCGCCUCCGUCGCCCCUCCUCCUUACUUUGGCCGUCUCCGUUUCCGAGGUCGUUCUCUCCUUCCUCCGUCGCCUAACCUAUCGCGCCGCCAUUCCUAAUCCGGAGGAGCUAUCUCAGCAUCGCUCACUCCAAGGGAACCUGACCUGGGCCUUCUGAUCCCUUUUCUUUGCCGUUCGGCGGGUGGCCCGCCCGGCCGUCAGGCUAACUCAACAUCCCGCUCACGGUGAGGGCAGCCGGGAUGGCGAAGUGGCUUGACAUCUACAACGGCGUGCUGAUGGUUAGGGUUCAGUUGGUUCCCCAACAUUCCUUGGGACCGACAUCCUCCCUCCGCAAUCAGGGAUCUCCGCGAUCCGUAUCUCAAUAUCUUCAGGAACAUCAUCCAGAACUGUCUUGGGAACUCUCGGAUCGAUUAUCAACAGCAGCCGGAUGAUGAAGUAUUGAAGAUCUGGCAAAGAAGAAAAACUUGCUGUGAAGAAUAAGCUUCAGAAUCUGAUAUAUAUACAUCACUGUACAAGACAAGAGCUUCACCAUGUGAGAGUUACUAAUUAUCAGGCAAAAGUGGAAGACGAGGUACACUAGAACCCGAAUUCCAUCCGUGUAGAGAAUUAAGAUCCAUCUCUUGUGCUUGCUCGCUUAAAUGCACUCCAGGGCUCUUCGCGGAUGAGCUGUUCUUAUUGACCUUCGUGGGAAGAAUCUGCAGCCUGGAGUUCAGCUCUGUUCCUGAUCUCUUUGCGGCCAAUUGGUAGCUUUCGACGAGCUCAAGUUGACGAGCAAUUAUCUCGGAACAUCUUGGGAGGAGCUCUACAGGUUCUCCGCCAGGAAUUACAAUGUACUCGAUAGCCAUUCGAACCUCCUGCGGUAGUAUCAGUAUGCAGAUCAUUACAUGCGUGUUUAUCCUAAAAUACUUAAUCAUGCACAUACCUCCAGAGCAUCAAUUUCCUCCAAUGUAGGUUUUCUUUUAGGUGCAUCAUCUUCCACUUCUAUGUCUUUGUCGAUAAAGAUUGACGGUGCAUUUAGUCUGGAUCCAAACCCAUUGACCCCUAGGAUCAUCUUAACUGCCUUCACCAUUUGUGCCAUUGUACUCUUCUGCAGGUAAGAACAAAGCGCUGUAAGGGCACUGGCAAACCGAGGAAGCAGAACACCAAUUGUUUACCUUGAUUACAAAUACAGGCAGUUGGUGGAACUUUGCGACACUGCGAAUCCAAGGAUUUUGCUUCAUUUCGGAACUUGAUGCUAAAAUUGCAUUUGCUGUUCCAAUGUCUUCAGUCACAUGAAUAUCAUCCUCAUAGCCCAUCACAGUUGCUACUUGCAGCAGGUCAGCUUCCAAAGUCUUAACAAUGAAUGGAAAUAGCAUCAAAUGAUCCAAUACAGUAAAUUAUUUAAUGACAAUGAAUGAAGGACAAGUUGAAAACUGAAAAUGGAAGGCAAUUGAAUACUAAUGAACCAAGUCUGGUGACUACCUUAAAAGUAUAAACACGAACUGGCAAUCUCCUUGGUGUAUAUGAACUGCUUCUUGCUUUCUUGUUAUAUCCAGCAUUAUCAUUUCCAUCAUCAACAUCCUUUUUAGAACUAACAAACGGUUCCUCUUCAUGAAACUCCUGUGGAGCCGGAGAAGAGUUGCUCAAUUCACCUUUUGGAUCAAUCUUACGUGUUUCAAAGGGAGGAGUUUUCCCUGUAUUCACAAAAGAAUGACCAAGGCAAUGAAAUAUUUUCUGAAACAGGAAUUUGAAUAACAGGCUGACAAUUAAGGAGAGGAUAUAUAUAUAUAUAUAUAUACCUGCUAGAAUGGCAUCCACUGUAGCUUCUAGUUUGUGAUGAACUCGGCACUCAGUUUUUGAUAUCAUCUCAACAGCACAGGUAAAUGUAGGUGGCCCUUUUCUUUCAAGUAUUGUCUUUUGCACUUUCCUUUUUCUAGCCUCCUCAUCACCAAGUGUCACACUCUACAUCAGAACAAGUUCAAAGUAACCUUUAUAUGUGUAAA
Long non-coding RNA from Zingiber officinale, 2142 nucleotides. RefSeq lists it as uncharacterized. The transcript has 2 exons. The record is from RefSeq and is a predicted model, not a curated record. NCBI's taxonomy places the organism in Eukaryota, Viridiplantae, Streptophyta, Magnoliopsida, Zingiberales, Zingiberaceae.